RNAcentral lists this ribosomal RNA (450 nucleotides) under uncultured Fibrobacter sp. RNAcentral's name for it is "partial 16S ribosomal RNA". It matches the Rfam family "Bacterial small subunit ribosomal RNA", at positions 341 to 792 of the family's 1533-position model. Lineage: Bacteria; Pseudomonadati; Fibrobacterota; Fibrobacteria; Fibrobacterales; Fibrobacteraceae. The record is from RNAcentral.
ACGGGAGGCAGCAGUAGGGAAUAUUGCACAAUGGGGGGAACCCUGAUGCAGCAACGCCACGUGUGGGAAGAAGCAUUUCGGUGUGUAAACCACUGUCGUGAAGGAAUAAUGCCUGGUUUCGGCCAGGUUGAAUGUACUUUGAAAGGAAGCACCGGCAAACUUCGUGCCAGCAGCCGCGGUAAUACGAGGGGUGCAAGCGUUGUUCGGAAUCACUGGGCGUAAAGGGAGCGCAGGCGGAAGUGCAAGCGGUCUGUACAAUGCCGGGGCCCAACCCGGACCUGCAGACCGGACUGCAUUUCUUGGAUAGUUCAGGGGCGAGCGGAAUUCCUGGUGUAGCGGUGGAAUGCGUAGAGAUCAGGAAGAACACCGAUGGCGAAGGCAGCUUGCUGGGGACUUAUCGACGCUCAUGCUCGAAAGUGCGGGUAGCAAACAGGAUUAGAUACCCUGGUA